RNAcentral lists this ribosomal RNA (207 nucleotides) under uncultured fungus. Its description in RNAcentral is "partial 28S ribosomal RNA". It matches the Rfam family "Eukaryotic large subunit ribosomal RNA", at positions 75 to 276 of the family's 3401-position model. Lineage: Eukaryota; Fungi. The record is from RNAcentral.
UUCCCCUAGUAACGGCGAGUGAAGCGGCAACAGCUCAGAUUUGAAAUCUGGCCCCGUCUCGGGGUCCGAGUUGUAGUCUAGAGAAGCGUCGUCGUGCUGGACCAUGUAUAAGUCUCUUGGAACAGAGCGUCAUAGAGGGUGAGAAUCCCGUCUUUGACAUGGACUCCAGUCACUUUGUGUUGUGCUCUCAACGAGUCGAGUUGUUUG